RNAcentral lists this ribosomal RNA (306 nucleotides) under Triticum aestivum (bread wheat). RNAcentral's name for it is "partial small subunit ribosomal RNA". Lineage: Eukaryota; Viridiplantae; Streptophyta; Magnoliopsida; Poales; Poaceae. The record is from RNAcentral.
AUGUUGACGAGGCGGGCAGCAGUUGAAGCUUCGAACGACCAUGGCUCCUGUGCGAAGAAUACACAGUUGAGAGAGAGGUCAGAGAGAGACCGGGGCAUGAGAGAGAGGUUAGGGAGGGGGAACAGGAUGGAGAGGGAACCCGAGGGAAAAGGGAAGAAGGGAAGGGCACGGCGCUCAUCUGCUGGUCGCCGGUGGCAGCGCCGGUUGCCGGAUGACGAGGCGAGGUGGACUUGCUAUCCGCGAAGUAGAGGAAGCAGGGGAGGAAGAGGGAGAUGGCGGCGCGAGGAGGACGGAGGAAAACCCUAG